CUAUGGCCUCUGAUGAAAUCCGGCGAGCCGCCGCUUUCAACGGCUCCAUGCUCUCUCUCCCUUCUUUGUCUUCCAAUGAACCCCCACCUCCAAAUCUAGAACCCUAAGACUUCGACUUCUCCGCGCCGCCCUUUUCCGCCGACCUUUCCGCGCCGCCUUCUCUCCCCGUCAAUAUCCACGGACGCCUCCUUCUGUUCCGUCACAUCUCCCCCUCUCCCGUCGCCUCUCUCUCUCUCCCACGUCCAAAUUUUAAACCCUAGGUCGCCGCCCCCGCAUCAGAUCCUCCGCCCCGCCUUAGUGCGCGGCUGCGUCGCCCCCACCCACCUCCUCUGGCCUCGGCGCUUCUGUUGGUCCGUCCGGUGACUCCACUAUUUUCCUUGAAUGCCUCUAUUACCCUCGGCUGCAAUUCAGUCUACAAAUCUUAGAUUCACAAUCGCUGCCUUCGUUGUUAUCCGUCAAUACUUGUUGUCUCCACUUCACUGCGUUGCAGUUAUCCACAAUCAAUUCGUGAAAUUGAGGUAAGUUUUUUGGUCCGAUUGUUUGAUUUCAGUGUAGUUGAGGCUUCUUCUGAAAGUUUAUUAGUUCUGAACUAUGAUUAUCGGAUAGUAGCAGACAGAUUUCGUUUGUGUAAUUUGGUCGAAAAUCACUUCCGAACGGGUUCAUUUAUAGAGUCUUUACAUUUGUUUUCUGAUAUUAGUCUUUAAGAAGUCAUAGUGUGGAUGCUGAUAGUUGCAUUUUGUUGUGAAGAUAAUGGUAAUUGGUGAUGAAUUUUGUCAUAGAGAAGUAUGGGUGACAUCUUCAAUUGGUGAUGAGUUUAACUGCUUUGGGAAUAUCCUUGUUUGACUUAAAGGUUACGAUUCUCAUAUGGAUGCACUUCUUCCAUAGAAGGAUUAUAAAAGAAAAAAAUCUUAAACUCUCACAAUUUGCUGUUUUCAUUUCCGUUCAUUGCUGAUCUCACUUAAGACGAGGUAUUCUUUCUCACAAAUCCUGUUAUUUCAAUAAAUUGAUCUAUAAAAGGAUUUAAACAGAUUGACGCUAUUAAGUCGAGACUCGAGCAGGAGUGCCUUGCAAUUAUGUCUUGUGCUGAUAUUGUAGUUUUAUCAGCAAGAGUGGGUGGAGAUCAGUUCUCUCUCUCUCUCUCUCGCCAUUUCCUAUUCUCUGUAGUAGAGAAUAGUUUCAAGGUCUACUCUCAAUUCCUCUUUGUUUUAUUUUGUGCGUGUUUUAAAAUGUGUGGUGUUGUAGAAUGGUGCUAAUGGAGUUUUGUGUGAUGGUAUUUUGUGGUUUUAGGGUUCAAUUUGUGAAGUUUGUGUUAACUAGAUUCUGCUUACAGAUUAGUCGUUGUAACUAGGAAUAUGAAUUUAUCAGCAAUAUUAUCCUUGAAGAGACACUAAUGAGGUUUCUAUUUGUAGCUAGAUUCUAUUUGUAGUGUUCAGAUCACAUGCACUACUCAUAAUGAGGUUUCUCCUGUUUGAGAUUAAUUCUGCUCUGCAUGUUAUUCAGAUUGGAAAAAUAUCAAAGAGAUCAAUGACUCAUCCUUAAGUAGUUACAUCUUCAUUUCUUUUUAUAAUGUUAAUUUAUGAAGGAGAUUAUUAGUUUCUUACCUCUCAGCUAUGAGAGCAUGUUCCUGAAAAUCCUUUGAGGAAGCAGCCAUGGCGAGCAGCGGUGGGCAAAGGGUGCUGUCGACGAAGGAGGCCGACAUUCAGAUGAUGUUGGCAUCCGAAGUUCACCUCGGCACUAAAAACUGCGAUUUUCAGAUGGAGCGCUACGCUUUCAAGCGCCGCAACGAUGGUAAAUUGCGAUCGAAUCAAAAUGCCGUUUGGUGAUGACAGAUUUUCUUUUCUAUACUGCUAGUUUACUUUUUUCAUUUUUUUUUAUUGUGUGUACAAUCUCCGGUUUGUUAUGUGAAUGGAUUUAAGGUUUUGAAAACCAUUGGGGUUUAUGUACAAUCGUUUGUCGCAGCUUUUAACUGCUUGUCGUUUUGGGUGAAUUGCUUUUCUAUUGUUGCUAGGAACACUCAUUUUGGCAUUAGGAGAUACACUUAUUGGUUUCCUUUGACUGAUUAUCAGGAUUGAGCUCUGUGAAGUUUUUGAUGAAGUUGAUAUAUGUUUCCUUGGAUAUUGUAGUUGCUUCAUAAUAAGUAGUCGAGAUUUUCUAAUUAUCUGCUAGGAUGAUUAUAGUGUGGAUAUGCCUUUAUCAAUUCUAUUAUCUGUUGAGCCCUGUAAAGUUUUUGAUGGAGUUAAUUUAUGUUUCCUUGAAUACUGCAGUUGGUUCAGAAUAAGUAGUCAAAAUUUUCCAAUUGUCUGCUAGGAUAUUUACAGUGUGUAUAUGCUUUUAUAAAUUCUAUUGUCCGUUUCUCUUGAAUUGAACCUCCUAGGUUUCACAAAUGCUUUUGAGUUAGUUAAGUUUAUAGCUUUUGCUGUCAAAGGUCUCAAAACCAAUCAAUUGCGUUGUGAUGCUGACUUUCCCCAUGUUUGUCUGUGACUUGUCUGUCUAAAUUGCGCAUAUGAUAAAUCGGUCAGGAAUUUUUAUAAUCAAUGUUGGGAAAACGUGGGAAAAGCUUCAAAUGGCUGCAAGGGUUAUCGUAGCUAUCGAGAAUCCCCAGGACAUCAUUGUCCAGUCGGCCAGACCAUAUGGUCAGAGGGCCGUGCUAAAAUUUGCCCAGUAUACUGGCACUCAGGCAAUUGCAGGACGACACACCCCAGGAACUUUCACUAACCAGCUUCAGACAUCGUUCAGUGAGCCGAGGCUCCUCAUUCUUACUGAUCCGAGAACUGAUCACCAGGUCAUUGCUCACUUAUAGAUUGGUUUUAACCCGUUGUAGUUUCAUAUUAUUUUGGUUGGUGUUAUCUAUCAUUGCUCUGAUAUUCUAUUCUUUAACAGCCUAUUAAGGAAGGUGCUUUGUCUAGCAUCCCUAUCAUUGCCUUCUGCGAUACGGAUUCCCCUAUGCGCUACGUUGAUAUUGGUAUCCCGGCCAAUAAUAAGGGGAAGCACAGCAUUGGCUGCCUGUUCUGGCUGUUGGCCAGGAUGGUGUUGCAGAUGCGUGGAGUAAUUGCUCCAGGACACAAAUGGGAAGUCAUGGUAAAUAAGUCUUAAAUACUUGGUCUCGUUAUAAUACUUUCUUGCGAGGCUGUGCUUUUGAGCAUGAGGCAACUAGAAGAAUGCGUAAUGAAUUUAUGGUAGCUUGGGAUGGCUUGAGGUCAAAAGACAACCGGAGAAUCAUAGCAGGUUGAUUAACUAGUUCUUGAGGACUUGGUGCUUUAAACAUUGUAUGAUAGAUUUUUGUUUUAGCUAUAAGGUAGUUGGUAUUUUCAAUUUUGAAUCGGAAUAUGCAAUGAUGAUGUAUACUUGAUAUUUGGUUCAUUUGUAUAAUAAUGUAUGAAUUUUUUGGAUGAUAUAUAAUAUUGUUAUCGUUGAUUUUAUCAUUUUGUAGUUUUAUAAAAUUGCAAAAUUUAAAAUAUACUACAAUUAUAUAAAGUGCAAAAACUGUUAUAAAAGGUGCAAAAAAUCGUUAUGUAUUCUAAUUAAAGAUAACGGUUAAAUCGUUAUAAAAAGUGCAAAAAAUCGUUAUAAAAAGUGUCAAAAACCGUUAUGUAUUCUAUCAAAGAUAACGGUUAAAACCGUUAUAAAAAGUGCAAAAAACUGUUAACUAUGAUAAAAAAAUAAAAUAAUAAUAAUAAUACAUAACGGUAAAAUCUUAAUACAUAACGGUGAAAAACCGUUAUGUAUUCUAUCAAAGAUAACGGUUAAAACCGUUAUAAAAAGUGCAAAAAAACUGUUAACUAUGAUAAAAAAAAAAAAAUUAAUACAUAACGGAAAAAUCUUAAUACAUAACGGUGAAAAACCGUUAUGUAUAACCUUUAUAGAUAACGGAUGCGUACUGUUAUGUAUGACGCAUCGUACCGUUAUCUAUGCUACUAUACAUAACGGUUUUGAAACCGUUGUGUAUGACGUAUAGAAUAGAUAACACCACUAUACACAACGGUUUUUUUGCUCAUAGAUAACGGAUAAAAUCCGUUAUCUAUGAGCGUUUUCUAGUAGUGACUAUGUGUGAGCCACCGCUAGGUAAUGUGUGCACUAGUAUGGAGGUUCAUUAUAUGGUGUUAGUUGGCUUGGUAUGCUUUUAUGUGUGCCUGUGGCAGUUAGUGAUGCAUUAAUUACAAACCACAAAAUAGCUACCACCUUAUAUGUGUGGAAUCUUUACAAAAUGAUGAUUACAUGCUAAACAACAACUACAUAUAACUAGUUUGUUGCUUAUGCUGUNUCUCUCUCGUUCUUCCUUCUCCGGCGCAUCUCUCCGUCAGCCAUUUCACCCUUAUCGCCUCUUUCUAUGGCCUCUGAUGAAAUCCGGCGAGCCGCCGCUUUCAACGGCUCCAUGCUCUCUCUCCCUUCUUUGUCUUCCAAUGAACCCCCACCUCCAAAUCUAGAACCCUAAGACUUCGUACUUCUCCGCGCCGCCCUUUUCCGCCGACCUUUCCGCGCCGCCUUCUCUCCCCGUCAAUAUCCACGGACGCCUCCUUCUGUUCCGUCACAUCUCCCCCUCUCCCGUCGCCUCUCUCUCUUUCCCACGUCCAAAUUUUAAACCCUACGGUCGCCGCCCCCGCCAUCAGAUCCUCCGCCCCGCCCUUAGUGCGCCGGCUGCGUCGCCCCCACCCACCUCCUCUGGCCUCGGCGCUUCUGUUGGUCCGUCCGGUGACUCCACU
Molecule: long non-coding RNA, 4700 nt
Filed under: Salvia miltiorrhiza (redroot sage)
Lineage: Eukaryota; Viridiplantae; Streptophyta; Magnoliopsida; Lamiales; Lamiaceae
Description: long non-coding RNA (SMIL_LNC004865)
Source: RNAcentral